CAGACAUCUGCUGAGAAGCAACACGAUGAGGAAUCUUCACGGCCCCCAUCUCACCAUGUCAAGAAACUACGAAGAAUCGCUGCUGACCAGGCCCCCAGCUAGUCUGUGAAUUCUUCCCAGGUGUGUCUUCAUCUGGAUUGUGGUGGAUCUACUCUCUAAGACUUUGCCUAUGUCUAGAAUAAGGAGAGGAGACCUGGAAGAACUGCAAGUUUAAACUCAAGAGUUACUGAGAAUACAGAAAAUACCUGCAGAGCUGGGAAGCCAAUGGGAAUACAGAAAAGCUUGCAGAAUUGAAGAAUCCUGAAAACCCCAAGUGCUUUCAAUCCAGACCCAGGCUCCCAGGGGGACACUGUGAUGGCACUCACUCCAACAGUUCCCUAGCAAAGGUCUCCAAGCUGGUCUCCUGGAGAAUGUUCCCUUCUUGGAAAGCUGCAGCUAAUGAAACUAAAAUAAAUGAUAAAAGGAUAUUUGAUUCUCAGAAAUCCCGUUUUCAGUCAAUGUGGCUAGAAUACAUGCAUUUAAUAAAGUAAAG
Molecule: long non-coding RNA, 532 nt
Filed under: Homo sapiens (human)
Lineage: Eukaryota; Metazoa; Chordata; Mammalia; Primates; Hominidae
Description: HSALNT0221097
Source: RNAcentral